Molecule: ribosomal RNA, 773 nt
Filed under: uncultured Neocallimastigales
Lineage: Eukaryota; Fungi; Neocallimastigomycota; Neocallimastigomycetes; Neocallimastigales
Description: partial large subunit ribosomal RNA
Rfam family: Eukaryotic large subunit ribosomal RNA
Source: RNAcentral
GAGAGAGACAUGCGCGCAUAUCAAUAAGCGGAGGAAAAGAAACUAACAAGGAUUCCCCUAGUAACGGCGAGUGAAGCGGGAAGAGCUCAAAUUUGAAAUCUUAAAGGGUUUCCCUUUACGAAUUGUAGUUUAAAGAAGUGUUUUCUGUUGAGGUUUUGGUAAAAGUUCUUUGGAAUAGGACAUCAUAGAGGGUGAGAAUCCCGUAUUUGACCUUUACUUUCAACUUUGUGAUACACUUUCAAAGAGUCGGAUUGUUUGGGAAUGCAGUCCAAAAUGGGUGGUAAAUUUCAUCUAAAGCUAAAUAUUGGCGAGAGACCGAUAGCGAACAAGUACCGUGAGGGAAAGAUGAAAAGAACUUUGAAAAGAGAGUUAAACAGUACGUGAAAUUGUCAAAAGGGAAGCGUUUGACACCAGUGUUGUUUUUCUGAAAAUCAAUUAAAGAACUGUUUAUGCUAAGUUGUUUAGACUUUAUCAGCUAUCUGUUUAGUUUUGAGCUUUUCUUUAAUGCACUUUUCAGUUAACAAGUCAACAUCAAUUUCUUUUGCUGUAAAAAAGCUUGAGGAAGGUGGCUUGAGAUUCGUCUUAAGUGUUUAUAGCCUCUUGCCUAUGCAGUCGGAGAGAUUGAGGUCUGCAGCGUAGAUCCUUCGGGGCUAAAUGCAUUUGUGCUAAGUUAUAGCAUUUUAUAGACAACUUGUUGACUAUGAUUUGUCUUGUAGCUUACUCGCUUAUGUUAUUUUACCUACGCUUAGGAUGUUGACGCAUGAGAUAUACGC